This 423-nucleotide ribosomal RNA is filed under the name uncultured bacterium. RNAcentral's name for it is "partial 16S ribosomal RNA". It matches the Rfam family "Bacterial small subunit ribosomal RNA", at positions 361 to 776 of the family's 1533-position model. The record is from RNAcentral.
AUUUUGGACAAUGGGCGCAAGCCUGAUCCAGACAUGCCACGUUUGUGAAGAAUGACUUCGUGUAGUAAAGCUCUUUCGGACGGAAAAAAAUCGCGCCCGCUAAUACCCCGCGCGAAUGACCGAACCGUCAAAAGAAGCACUGUCCAACUACGUUCCAGCCGCCGCGGUAAUACGUAGGGUGCGAGCGUUAAUCGGAAUUACUGGGCGUAAAGCGUGCGCAGGCGGUUGAUUAAGACAGGCGUGAAAUCCCCGGGCUUAACCUGGGAACUGCGCUUGUGACUGGUCAGCUAGAGUACGGCAGAAGGGGGUGGAAUUCCACGUGUAGCAGUGAAAUGCGUAGAGAUGUGGAGGAACACCGAUGGCGAAGGCAGCCCCCUGGGCCGAUACUGACGCUCAUGCACGAAAGCGUGGGUAGCAAACAGG